UGGACGUAACCAAUCUGGGUAAACCACGUACAUCUUGUGUUUGCUUCCCUGUCUCUAUCCAUUUACAUAAUUAUCCAUACUAGUGAGCGGAGGAAUCUAGCGAAGGUCACAAACUUGACACUUUCUGUUGUACCAAAGUCCUCACUGAUUUUGUGCAUCAACAUUUGGCGCCGUCUAUAGGAAAAGCUUGUCUGUAAUCAACAACCUUAAAUGUGGGGGAGUAUGUCCAGGGAUUGCAAAUUACUUACUAAAGUCCCAAGAUGUAUUUUUGAGGACUUUACAUUGUAAAACAACUACUCUCGUAAGAAAUAUAAUUUCAUAAGAUGAAUUGUGCACACUAUUAUAGAUAGGCAACCUAGUAGUUGAUCCAAUUAUUAAAGGUUAGACUAGAAAGUAAGUUGAUCAUAAAAGGGAAUGAGGUUAAAGCCAACAUAACUAAUGAAUCAGCGGGGUGGAAACCUAACUUAGUUAAUUGGAGAUCUUAUAGUCUAAGUUCAUUAGGCAUACUGGUUGGGCAUGACUCAAAGAAGAUAACACACUAUAUACCUCCUUCCUAUGAUGGAAGACGUGUGUUGUCUACAGAAGUUUUUAGGUGUAUAUUUAUGCUUAAUGACAAUGAUAUCUUAUAAGUAAAAGGAAUAGAGCUGACGAUUCUUAAUCAGUGGUCACCUAUGUGAGAGUACAAGAGGGUGGCUUGUGAUGACCCGUCCCUAUUUUACGUUUUUAUUAAUUUUAAAAGCGUGAAUUGAUGAAAAUGCCUUAAAGGCAAGGAUUUUAACUUCUGUUGACCAUCGUCUAGAGAAACAUAUGACUUAUUCUAUUGGCGCGUAAUACUCGAUGGUACAAACGCAUAGGCAAAAGCCAUUUGCGAGUCCGGAUUAUAACGGUAUAGUUAUGGACGUUUGAAAUAGGUUACUUACAUUUUAGAUUAUAAAUUAUUUGAACUCCCACCUUGUAGGAAAGAAACCCAAUCGGUUUCAAGGAAAGAAAAUAGGGACCAAUCAAAUAAAAGAAAAGAAAGCCUUGAGCCAAUCAUGACAAAGGAAAAAAAAACAAAAAAAAAAGAUUUCUCCCAUCUAUUCCCGUCGGCUCUUCUACCCAUGCCAAACCAGUUUCGACUCAAUUCCAAAUCCGGUGAAUUUCCACCAUUUUUCCGUCGAAUAACCAUCAUCCAAAAUCUGCAACCUCUCCCUCAAUCUCUCCUCUACCAUUUCCGCCCAAGAUUGAAGGGUUUUAGGUCCCAUUUCGUGUAGAACUCCACCGGAGCACCGAAGGUGCUCGACGACGAUUCCUUCGUUCCAGCGAGUUUCACCACCCACCAUCACUCCUAAUCAACUCCCCUUGGACCUAGGAACAAGACCCAACCAGUGAGAGGUGAUGUGAAAAUUAACUUGACAUACAAAUUAAACCCUAUGGAUGACAAUUGUAGUAUAUGAG
This 1437-nucleotide long non-coding RNA is filed under the name Malus domestica (apple). Its description in RNAcentral is "long non-coding RNA (MDOM_LNC015310)". The record is from RNAcentral. Lineage: Eukaryota; Viridiplantae; Streptophyta; Magnoliopsida; Rosales; Rosaceae.